GAUGAACGCUGGCGGCGUGCCUAAUACAUGCAAGUCGAGCGAACAGAUGAGGAGCUUGCUCCUCUGACGUUAGCGGCGGACGGGUGAGUAACACGUGGAUAACCUACCUAUAAGACUGGGAUAACUUCGGGAAACCGGAGCUAAUACCGGAUAAUAUAUUGAACCGCAUGGUUCAAUAGUGAAAGACGGUUUUGCUGUCACUUAUAGAUGGAUCCGCGCCGCAUUAGCUAGUUGGUAAGGUAACGGCUUACCAAGGCAACGAUGCGUAGCCGACCUGAGAGGGUGCGCGACCCCGCUGGACGGGAGACACGGUCCAGCCCCCCACGGGAGGCGGCAGGGGGAAUUCUCCCGCAAGGGGCGAAGGCCGGACGAAGCAGCGCGGGGUGAGGAAUAAGUGUCUUCGUACCUAAAACCUUUUUUAUUAGGAAAAAAAAAUUUGGUAAGUACAUAGCCACUUCUUAACGCACCAUAAUAAAAAGACCAGGCCAAACUCGGCC
This 497-nucleotide ribosomal RNA is filed under the name uncultured bacterium. RNAcentral's name for it is "partial 16S ribosomal RNA". It matches the Rfam family "Bacterial small subunit ribosomal RNA", at positions 28 to 509 of the family's 1533-position model. The record is from RNAcentral.